RNAcentral lists this ribosomal RNA (533 nucleotides) under uncultured bacterium. RNAcentral describes it as "bacterial SSU rRNA". It matches the Rfam family "Bacterial small subunit ribosomal RNA", at positions 775 to 1306 of the family's 1533-position model. The record is from RNAcentral.
AGAUAAUAGAUACCCCGGUAGUCCACGCCGUAAACGAUGAAUACUAGGUGUAGGGGUUGUCAUGACCUCUGUGCCGCCGCUAAACGCAUUAAGUAUUCCGCCUGGGGAGUACGGUCGCAAGAUUAAAACUCAAAGGAAUUGACGGGGGCCCGCACAAGCAGCGGAGCAUGUGGUUUAAUUCGAAGCAACGCGAAGAACCUUACCUAGACUUGACAUCUCCUGAAUUACUCUGUAAUGGAGGAAGCCACUUCGGUGGCAGGAAGACAGGUGGUGCAUGGUUGUCGUCAGCUCGUGUCGUGAGAUGUUGGGUUAGGUCCCGCAACGAGCGCAACCCUUAUUGUUAGUUGCUACCAUUUAGUUGAGCACUCUAGCGAGACUGCCCGGGUUAACCGGGAGGAAGGUGGGGAUGACGUCAAAUCAUCAUGCCCCUUAUGUCUAGGGCUACACACGUGCUACAAUGGUCGGUACAAUGAGAUGCAACCUCGCGAGAGUGAGCAAAACUAUAAAACCGAUCUCAGUUCGGAUUGUAGGCU